UGGCGGUGAUGACUAUCUUAGGACACCUUUGGAAUGACCGUGAAAUAAUCUUUUUUUUUUCUGAGCCAU
RNAcentral lists this small nucleolar RNA (69 nucleotides) under Anas platyrhynchos platyrhynchos (common mallard). RNAcentral's name for it is "Small nucleolar RNA SNORD58 (ENSAPLG00000000471.2)". It matches the Rfam family "Small nucleolar RNA SNORD58". Rfam says of the family: snoRNA U58 is found in introns 1, 3 and 6 of the ribosomal protein RPL17 gene in humans. U58 is a member of the C/D class of snoRNA which contain C (UGAUGA) and D (CUGA) box motifs. The record is from Rfam by way of RNAcentral. Lineage: Eukaryota; Metazoa; Chordata; Aves; Anseriformes; Anatidae. RNAcentral also lists the same sequence under 1 other name.